ACAUGUCUCUUAAACACUUAACAGUCUUACGUCUUGUUCUGCUUUCUCAUUUUCCUUUUCAAAAAUCAUCGGUUAACCAUUCCUCCUCAUAUAUUUCAUGAACAUCUUUUAUGUCUCAUCUGACCUAGCCGUCAAAAAAGUCCAUGAAGAAGAACAAUCAUUUAUCGUCGCUACAGUGAAUGCCAUUGCCGGAGACUGGAGUGAGCGUCAUAGCCGGCUUUACUGGAGUUAGCGUUGUUGCUGCCUUCCUGUAUCUCUGCAACGCCAAGAAUUCUUAAUUGAAUAUCGGUUCUUAUCCUCUCAUCUUCACAGGUUGCCAAGAUCAUGUCAAUGAAAUCAUUUGACUGUUGCAGGCUCUAUCUCACGUCGAUGGUGACGAUGAUUUUGGUGGUGGUAAGCGGCCAUGUAUUUAUCCUCCACACCGGUCAUGCCUCCACAUGCUACAUAAACGUUUACAAGAGUGUAAUGGGGUGAAGUGUAAAAUCUGAAGUUCUUGCUAAAGUCCAGAAGUUCACGAAAUGGGCAUUGAAAUUUAUAGGAAUUCAUUCCCAUUUUCAAAAUAAUAAAGAAAAAGUGAAUCAAAAUUUUGUUGUUCAGGUUAAAUUACAUUUUUCAGUUGUAUAGCCUUUCUUGGAUCUUGUCGGGAAUCAUUUAACAGGGAAUGAUUACAUAGAAGCAUUUGAUUCAA
Molecule: long non-coding RNA, 688 nt
Organism: Lactuca sativa (garden lettuce)
Lineage: Eukaryota; Viridiplantae; Streptophyta; Magnoliopsida; Asterales; Asteraceae
Source: RefSeq, a predicted model, not a curated record